UCAAGCUACUAAGGGCAUACGGUGGAUGCCUUGGCGCCAUGAGCCGAUGAAGGACGCGAUAAGCUGCGAAAAGCCGCGGGGAACUGCAAAUGAGUAUAGAUCCGCGGAUGUCCGAAUGGGGAAACCCGGCAGCCGUNNAGGGAGGGAACCCGGUGAACUGAAACAUCUAAGUAGCCGGAGGAGAAGAAAUCAAACGAGAUGCCCCCAGUAGCGGCGAGCGAAGCGGGCAGAGCCUAAACCGUGCACCUUCGGGUGUGCGGGGUUGCGGACCGGCGGGAUCGAGCGAGUUGUUAGCGGAAGCUUCUGGAAAGGAGCGCGAGAGAGGGUAAAAGCCCCGUACGCGAAAACGACGAGCGCGAGGCCGGGAUCCAGAGUACCACGGGGCACGAGGAAUCCUGUGGGAAGCAGGGGGGACCACCCUCCAAGGCUAAAGACUCAAUGGCGACCGAUAGCGCAUAGUACCAUGAGGGAACGGUGAAAAGAACCCCGGGAGGGGAGUGAAAGAGAACCUGAAACCGUAUGUCUACAAGCAGUCGGAGCGAAAGCGACGGCGUGCCUAUUGAAGAAUGAGCCAACGAGUUGCGUGUGCNNGUGAUCUACGCAUGGCCAGACUGAAACGCAGGUAAAAUUGCGCGGAGGGUCGAACCGGGACAUGUUGAAAAAUGUUCGGAUGAGCUGUGCGUAGGGGUGAAAUUCCAAUCGAACGCAGAGAUAGCUGGUUCUCCUCGAAAUAGCUUUAGGGCUAGCCUCACGUAGUAAGCGCGGGCGGUAGAGCACUGAUCGGGCUAGGGGCCGUACUGGUUACCGAACCCUGUCAAACUCCGAAUGGCGGCGCUGCAGAGCGUGGGAGUCAGACUACGAGUGAUAAGAUCCGUGGUCAAAAGGGAAACAGCCCAGCCCAUCAGCUAAGGUCCCCAAUGCCGUACUAAGUGGAAAAGGAUGUGGGGUUUCCUAAACAACCAGGAUGUUGGCUCAGAAGCAGCCACCAUUUAAAGAGUGCGUAAUAGCUCACUGGUCGAGAGNNNNNNNNNNNNNNNNNNUGAGUAGCGAAAAGGGCGGUGAGAAUCCGCCCCACCGAAAGCAUAAGGAUUCCUGGGCAACGAUCGUCGUCCCAGGGUAAGUCGGGACCUAAUCCGAGGCAAGAGGCGUAGGAGAUGGACAUCCGGUUGAGAUUCCGGAACCGGCAGCGAUUGUUUGAGCGAGGGAGUGACACAGGAAGGCAGGCCCGCACGGGAAUGGAAGUCCGUGUGCAAGCGUGCGGCGUGGGGUACAGGCAAAUCCGUACCCUGUAAGCGCGAGGCGUGAUGCGNNGCCUACACUGUCGAGAAAAGCUUCUAGUGAGAGAGCUGCCGCCCGUACCGUAAACCGACACAGGUAUGCGGGGAGAGAAUCCUAAGGUGCGCGGGAGAACCCUCGUUAAGGAACUCGGCAAAAUGUACCCGUAACUUCGGGAUAAGGGUAGCCAUGUGAGGUGAAGGGACUAGCUCCCGGAGCUUUGUGUGGUCGCAGAGAAGAGGCCCAAGCGACUGUUUACCAAAAACUUAGGUGCCUGCCAAAGCGAAAGCUGACGUAUAGGUGCUGACACCUGCCCAGUGCCGGAAGGUUAAGGAAGGGGGUCAGGGAGCGAUCCUGAAGCCCUCGACCGAAGCCCCGGUGAACGGCGGCCGUAACUAUAACGGUCCUAAGGUAGCGAAAUUCCUUGUCGGGUAAGUUCCGACCCGCACGAAAGGUGUAACGAUUUGGGCGCUGUCUCAACGAGGGACCCGGUGAAAUUGAAAUACCUGUGAAGAUGCAGGUUACCCGCGACUGGACAGAAAGACCCCAUGGAGCUUUACUGUACCCUGGCAUUGGGUUCUGAUAUUGCACGCACAGGAUAGGUGGGAGGCACGGAAGUAUGGGCUUUGGCCUGUAUGGAGCCGCCGUUGGGAUACCACCCUUGCGGUAUCGGAAUUCUAACCGUACAUGUAACAAGUGUCGGGACCGUGUCAGGCGGGCAGUUUGACUGGGGCGGUCGCCUCCGAAAGUGUAACGGAGGCGCCCAAAGGUUCCCUCAGCGCGGCCGGAAAUCGCGCGCAGAGUGUAAAGGCAGAAGGGAGCUUGACUGCGAGUCAGACAAGACGAGCAGGUACGAAAGUAGGGCUUAGUGAUCCGGUGGCGCCUUGUGGAAGGGCCAUCGCUCAACGGAUAAAAGCUACCCUGGGGAUAACAGGCUGAUCUCUCCCAAGAGUCCAUAUCGACGGGGAGGUUUGGCACCUCGAUGUCGGCUCAUCACAUCCUGGGGCUGAAGUCGGUCCCAAGGGUUGGGCUGUUCGCCCAUUAAAGUGGUACGCGAGCUGGGUUCAGAACGUCGUGAGACAGUUCGGUCCCUAUCCAUCGCGGGCGCAAGAGAUUUGAGGGGAUCUGCUCCUAGUACGAGAGGACCGGAGUGGACGGACCGAUGGUGUACCAAUUAUGCCGCCAGGCGUAUCGUUGGGUAGCUACGUCCGGGUCGGAUAAACGCUGAAAGCAUCUAAGCGUGAAACCAACCCCAAGAUGAGAUCUCUCAUGACACA
RNAcentral lists this ribosomal RNA (2552 nucleotides) under bovine gut metagenome. RNAcentral's name for it is "bacterial LSU rRNA". It matches the Rfam family "Bacterial large subunit ribosomal RNA". The record is from RNAcentral.